GGGGAUAACAGUUGGAAACGACCGCUAAUACCGCAUAACCCGCUAGUAUCGCAUGAUACGGACGGAAAAGAUUUAUCGGUAUGAGAUGGACCCGCGUCUGAUUAGCCAGUUGGCAGGGUAACGGCCUACCAAAGCAACGAUCAGUAGCCGGCCUGAGAGGGUGAACGGCCACAUUGGGACUGAGACACGGCCCAAACUCCUACGGGAGGCAGCAGUGGGGAAUAUUGCACAAUGGGGGAAACCCUGAUGCAGCGACGCCGCGUGAGUGAGGAAGUAUUUCGGUAUGUAAAGCUCUAUCAGCAGGGAAGAAAAUGACGGUACCUGACUAAGAAGCCCCGGCUAACUACGUGCCAGCAGCCGCGGUAAUACGUAGGGGGCAAGCGUUAUCCGGAUUUACUGGGUGUAAAGGGAGCGUAGACGGUUAAUCAAGUCAGAAGUGAAAACCCAGGGCUCAACCUUGGGACUGCUUUUGAAACUGAGUAGCUAGAGUGCAGGAGAGGUAAGCGGAAUUCCCAGUGUAGCGGUGAAAUGCGUAGAUAUUAGGAGGAACACCAGUGGCGAAGGCGGCUUACUGGACUGUAACUGACGUUGAGGCUCGAAAGCGUGGGGAGCAAACAGGAUUAGAUACCCUGGUAGUCCACGCCGUAAACGAUGAA
This 656-nucleotide ribosomal RNA is filed under the name uncultured bacterium. RNAcentral describes it as "bacterial SSU rRNA". It matches the Rfam family "Bacterial small subunit ribosomal RNA", at positions 139 to 813 of the family's 1533-position model. The record is from RNAcentral.